This 63-nucleotide transfer RNA is filed under the name Vibrio vulnificus. Its description in RNAcentral is "tRNA-Asp". It matches the Rfam family "tRNA", at positions 6 to 65 of the family's 71-position model. From Rfam's summary of the family: Transfer RNA (tRNA) molecules are approximately 80 nucleotides in length. The record is from RNAcentral. RNAcentral also lists the same sequence under 5 other names. Lineage: Bacteria; Pseudomonadati; Pseudomonadota; Gammaproteobacteria; Vibrionales; Vibrionaceae.
GGUAGUUCAGUUGGUUAGAAUACCGGCCUGUCACGCCGGGGGUCGCGGGUUCGAGUCCCGUCC